This 462-nucleotide ribosomal RNA is filed under the name uncultured bacterium. RNAcentral's name for it is "partial 16S ribosomal RNA". It matches the Rfam family "Bacterial small subunit ribosomal RNA", at positions 338 to 795 of the family's 1533-position model. The record is from RNAcentral.
CCUACGGGUGGCAGCAGUGAGGAAUAUUGGGCAAUGGACGCAAGUCUGAACCAGCCAAGUAGCGUGCAGGAUGACGGCCCUCCGGGUUGUAAACUGCUUUUAGUUGGGAAUAAAAGGGGGCUCGUGAGCGCCGUAUUGUAUGUACCAACAGAAAAAGGACCGGCUAAUUCCGUGCCAGCAGCCGCGGAAAUACGGAAGGUCCGGGCGUUAUCCGGAUUUAUGGGGGUUAAAGGGAGCGUAGGCCGGCUUUUAAGUCAGCUGUGAAAGUCCGGGGUCCAACCGUGGAAUUGCAGUUGAAACUGGAGGUCUUGAGUGCACACAGAGAAGCCGGAAUUCAUGGUGUAGCGGUGAAAUGCUUAGAUAUCAUGAAGAACUCUGAUCGCGAAGGCAAGUGUCCGGGGUGCAACUGACGCUGAGGCUCGAAAGUGCGGGUAUCAAACAGGAUUAGAUACCCUGGUAGUC